ACGGAGGGUGCGAGCGUUAAUCGGAAUCACUGGGCGUAAAGCGUGCGUAGGCGGCCUAUUAAGUCAGGUGUGAAAUCCCACGGCUCAACCGUGGAACUGCAGUUGAUACUGUUGGUCUUGAGUGUGUGAGAGGAUAGCGGAAUUCCUGGUGUAGGAGUGAAAUGCGUAGAGAUCAGGAGGAACAUCAGUGGCGAAGGCGGCUAUCUGGCCCAAUACUGACGCUGAGGCGCGAAAGCGUGGGGAUCAAACAG
RNAcentral lists this ribosomal RNA (251 nucleotides) under uncultured bacterium. Its description in RNAcentral is "partial 16S ribosomal RNA". It matches the Rfam family "Bacterial small subunit ribosomal RNA", at positions 525 to 775 of the family's 1533-position model. The record is from RNAcentral.